RNAcentral lists this transfer RNA (86 nucleotides) under Sphingorhabdus sp. Its description in RNAcentral is "tRNA-Leu". It matches the Rfam family "tRNA". From Rfam's summary of the family: Transfer RNA (tRNA) molecules are approximately 80 nucleotides in length. Their secondary structure includes four short double-helical elements and three loops (D, anti-codon, and T loops). Further hydrogen bonds mediate the characteristic L-shaped molecular structure. tRNAs have two regions of fundamental functional importance: the anti-codon, which is responsible for specific mRNA codon recognition, and the 3' end, to which the tRNAs corresponding amino acid is attached (by aminoacyl-tRNA synthetases). tRNAs cope with the degeneracy of the genetic code in two manners: having more than one tRNA (with a specific anti-codon) for a particular amino acid; and 'wobble' base-pairing, i.e. permitting non-standard base-pairing at the 3rd anti-codon position. RNAcentral also lists the same sequence under 1 other name. Lineage: Bacteria; Pseudomonadati; Pseudomonadota; Alphaproteobacteria; Sphingomonadales; Sphingorhabdaceae. The record is from RNAcentral.
GCGGACGUGGCGAAAUGGUAGACGCUACAGACUUAAAAUCUGUUAUCAGUAAUGGUGUGCGGGUUCGAGUCCCGCCGUCCGCACCA